Eptesicus fuscus (big brown bat) is the source of this 2200-nucleotide long non-coding RNA. RefSeq lists it as uncharacterized. The record is from RefSeq and is a predicted model, not a curated record. Lineage: Eukaryota; Metazoa; Chordata; Mammalia; Chiroptera; Vespertilionidae. The transcript has 7 exons.
UAUGUCAGUCACUAAGGAAAAGCCAUGAGUUUAGGGAGUUAGUGUCUCAGCCUGAACACCUGCUCACCUCCAGUUAUCCCAAUGUUACCUCCAGUAUGAAACUCAUCUUGUGUUAAAUCAAUCAGUGACUCCAGAUGAAAGUGAUACAUCCAUGUAUCAAAAAAUGGAGAAAAUACAAAGCGGACUGGUCGCCGGAUGCCUAGGAACUGCUCAGCGGAUCCCUGCUGUUCCACAGAGUUCUUUGAGCAGCCGUCCAUCUUCCGCGGGAAGAAAGGUAAGAUGUGAGAACAAACAACUUUGUCUUCUUUUCUGAGUAUCGCCAGGAGCUGCCCGGAACAGUCUGGCGUCUGGAGCUGUGCACUUGAUUGUCUUGUGGUGACUCCACCCCAGGCCAGACCACAGUGAGGCCUCCCUCCCCACUGACCGCACCAAAGUGGGGCAAGGGCUGAAGGGCACAAAGGAAGAGCUUUCCCCUCACCCGCUGAGAGGUCACAGGAGCCUGGCGUGGGGGGGACAGAGAACGGUCCCAGCCCAUCUUGUGGAUUCCUCCUAACGGCUCAGCUGUGCGUCCCUGCUCCUGUUAUCGCUGCUCACGAAUUCCCUUUGCCACUGCGGCGGGCUCAGUGAUGGGCAGUUCUUCGUCAAGCUUCAGUUUUACAAAACCAUCUUUACUUAAAACAGGUGCUAGAUUGAUGUUUGAGCACAGAGGUUUCUUGAAGUCGUCUCAUCCCUGAACUGUUCUCGGUCGAUACACUCCUCACGGUCAGGGUCUUCUGUGGGAGACGGUAGCUUCGGAUGCAGGCUGAGCGACAGCAAGUGUUCGAAUGUCCACCUCUCUCCCCUGAGGGUCCUGCUGGCUCAGCAUCAAAGCUGCCUGGCUCUGAGGCCCCCACACUGCCUGCGGCGUUCCCUGCUCCCGGAUUCUGCCCGGAGCCAUCAGAUCACAGCUCAUCCCAACCUGAUGGUAAAUUCCAAGGACAGGAAUUAAACCUGACUUUCUUAAAGAUUUCUGCAAUAGGAAAUCAUCCUCACUGAAAAGGAAAGUAAUGCAAAUGCAGGAAAUUGCAAGGAAGAAAGCCAGUUUCAGUUGUGAUCCAGCCCCUAGGACAACACUGCCCAUAGGGCUGCAACAUCCAUCCAGUUGAUUCUCUCUUGCCAGGACCAGCUGAUGUCUCUCUACCUACCUGGACCAGCUGAUGUCUCUCUACCUACCUGGACCAGCUGAUGUCUCUCUACCUACGUGGACCAGGUGAUGUCUCUCUACCUACCUGGACCAGGUGAUGUCUCUCUACCUACCUGGACCAGGUGAUGUCUCUCUACCUACCUGGACCAGGUGAUGUCUCUCUACCUACCUGGACCAGGUGAUGUCUCUCUACCGACCUGGACCAGCUGAUGUCUCUCUACCGACCUGGACCAGCUGAUGUCUCUCUACCUACCUGGACCAGCUGAUGUCUCUCUACCUACCUGGACCAGCUGAUGUCUCUCUACCUACGUGGACCAGGUGAUGUCUCUCUACCUACGUGGACCAGGUGAUGUCUCUCUACCUACCUGGACCAGCUGAUGUCUCUCUACCUACCUGGACCAGCUGAUGUCUCUCUACCUACCUGGACCAGGUGAUGUCUCUCUACCUACCUGGACCAGGUGAUGUCUCUCUACCUACCUGGACCAGGUGAUGUCUCUCUACCUCCCUGGACCAGUGAUGUGUGCAUAGUUGUUAUGCAAACAGGACCACACUAGGCCGUCGAUGGAACAUACCGGGAUUCUUUAUCAUUUCUUUCCCACUUCUUCUCCUUCCUGACCCUGGGCAGAGUAUCUACUAUUUUGUAAGAAGCUCUUUCUAACAACUUGAUUGAUGUCUAGGACUGAUUAUUCAACAGGUUGUUUUUCUUUAAUCCUCACUUGAGGAUAUUUUUUCCAUUGAUUUCUAGAGAGAGUGUAAGGAAAGGAGGAGGAAGGGGAGAGAGAGAGAGAGACAGACAGAGAGAGAGAGAGAGAGAGAGAGAGAGAAAGAGAGACAGAGAGAGAGGAAAAGAGAGAAACAUUGAUUGGUUGUCUCCCGCACAUACCCCUACUGGGUCUAGAGUACCUGUAACUGAGGUAUAUGCCCUUAACCCUUCAGUCCGCAGGCCAACACUGUAACCACUGAGCUAGUCCAGCCAGGGCAUACCCAGACAAAUUUUUUAAAAAGUUCUCACCGCCG